GGCCCCGCACAAGCGGUGGAGCAUGUGGUUUAAUUCGAUGCAACGCGAAGAACCUUACCAGGGUUUGACAUAGUACGAAGUUUUUUGAAAAAAAAUCCACCUUCGGGAACGUACAUACAGGUGGUGCAUGGCUGUCGUCAGCUCGUGUCGUGAGAUGUUGGGUUAAGUCCCGCAACGAGCGUAACCCUUGUUUUUAGUUGCCUUUCGAGGAUAUUUAGAAAGACUGCCGAUUAUAAAUCGGAGGAAGGUAAGGACGACGUCAAGUCAUCAUGCCCCUUACACUCUGGGCUACACACGUGCUACAUUGGGUAGAACAAUAAGUUGCUAAGUUGCGAAACCAAGCGAA
RNAcentral lists this ribosomal RNA (346 nucleotides) under uncultured bacterium. Its description in RNAcentral is "partial 16S ribosomal RNA". It matches the Rfam family "Bacterial small subunit ribosomal RNA", at positions 917 to 1271 of the family's 1533-position model. The record is from RNAcentral.